RNAcentral lists this transfer RNA (74 nucleotides) under Enterobacter bugandensis. RNAcentral describes it as "tRNA-Thr(ggt)". Lineage: Bacteria; Pseudomonadati; Pseudomonadota; Gammaproteobacteria; Enterobacterales; Enterobacteriaceae. The record is from RNAcentral.
GUUCAGGUGCUGGAUACGGUACAGAACGGCGGCUGGUAUCUGCCGAACGGCCUGUUCCUGCUGGCCCCAAGCGC